RNAcentral lists this ribosomal RNA (450 nucleotides) under uncultured bacterium. Its description in RNAcentral is "partial 16S ribosomal RNA". It matches the Rfam family "Bacterial small subunit ribosomal RNA", at positions 338 to 795 of the family's 1533-position model. The record is from RNAcentral.
CCUACGGGGGGCUGCAGUGGGGAAUUUUGGACAAUGGGCGAAAGCCUGAUCCAGCCAUGCCGCGUGCGGGAAGAAGGCCUUCGGGUUGUAAACCGCUUUUGUCAGGGAAGAAAUCUUUCGGGCUAACACCUCGAGAGGAUGACGGUACCUGCAGAAUAAGCACCGGCUCACUACGUGCCAGCAGCCGCGGUAAUACGUAGGGUGCAAGCGUUGAUCGGAGUUAGUGGGCGUAGAGGGUGAGCAGGGGGUUGAAAUCCCCGGGCUUAACCUGGGAACUGCACUUGUGACUGCACAGCUGGAGUACGGCAGAGGGGGAUGGAAUUCCGCGUGUAGCAGUGAAAUGCGUAGAUAUGCGGAGGAACACCGAUGGCGAAGGCAGUCCCCUGGGCCUGUACUGACGCUCAUGCACGAAAGCGUGGGGAGCAAACAGGAUUAGAUACCCUAGUAGUC